GAUGAACGCUGGCGGCGUGCCUAAUACAUGCAAGUCGAGCGAACAGACGAGGAGCUUGCUCCUCUGACGUUAGCGGCGGACGGGUGAGUAACACGUGGAUAACCUACCUAUAAGACUGGGAUAACUUCGGGAAACCGGAGCUAAUACCGGAUAAUAUAUUGAACCGCAUUGUUCAAUAGUGAAAGACGGUUUUGCUGUCACUUAUAGAUUGAUCCGCGCCGCAUUAGCUAGUUGGUAAGGUAACGGCUUACCAAGGCAACGAUGCGUAGCCGACCUGAGAGGGUGAGCGGCCACACUGGAACUGAGACACGGUCCAGACUCCUACGGGAGGCAGCAGUAGGGAAUCUUCCGCAAUGGGCGAAAGCUUGACGGAGCAACGCCGCGUGAGUGAUGAAGGUCUUCGGAUCGUAAAACUCUGUUAUUAGGGAAGAACAAAUGUGUAAGUAACUAUGCACGUCUUGACGGUACCUAAUCAGAAAGCCACGGCUAACUACGUG
RNAcentral lists this ribosomal RNA (497 nucleotides) under uncultured bacterium. RNAcentral describes it as "partial 16S ribosomal RNA". It matches the Rfam family "Bacterial small subunit ribosomal RNA", at positions 28 to 507 of the family's 1533-position model. The record is from RNAcentral.